AUUGAACGCUGGCGGCAGGCUUAACACAUGCAAGUCGAGCGGGGAAAGGUAGCUUGCUACCUGACCUAGCGGCGGACGGGUGAGUAAUGCUUAGGAAUCUGCCUAUUAGUGGGGGACAACGUCUCGAAAGGGAUGCUAAUACCGCAUACGUCCUACGGGAGAAAGCAGGGGACCUUCGGGCCUUGCGCUAAUAGAUGAGCCUAAGUCGGAUUAGCUAGUUGGUGGGGUAAAGGCCUACCAAGGCGACGAUCUGUAGCGGGUCUGAGAGGAUGAUCCGCCACACUGGGACGGAAACAGGGCCCAGACUCCUACGGAAGGCAGCAGGGGGGAAUUUGGGACAAUGGGGGGAACCCUGACCCCGCCAGCCCGCGUGUGGGAAAAAGGCUUUUGGGUUGUAAAGCCCUUUAAGGGGGGGGGGGGCUACCGGGAUUAAUCCUCUUGGAUAGGGGACGUUACCCGCAAAAAAAGCACCGGCUAACUCUGG
Molecule: ribosomal RNA, 484 nt
Filed under: uncultured bacterium
Lineage: Bacteria
Description: partial 16S ribosomal RNA
Rfam family: Bacterial small subunit ribosomal RNA
Source: RNAcentral